ACGCUCGACACCUACGGGAGGCAGCAGUGGGGAAUAUUGCACAAUGGAGGAAACUCUGAUGCAGCGACGCCGCGUGAGCGAAGAAGUAUUUCGGUAUGUAAAGCUCUAUCAGCAGGGAAGAAAAAGGACGGUACCUGACUAAGAAGCUCCGGCUAAAUACGUGUCAGCAGACGCGGUAAUCUGAGCGGGCUGGCAAGGC
Molecule: ribosomal RNA, 199 nt
Filed under: uncultured bacterium
Lineage: Bacteria
Description: partial 16S ribosomal RNA
Rfam family: Bacterial small subunit ribosomal RNA
Source: RNAcentral